RNAcentral lists this ribosomal RNA (389 nucleotides) under uncultured bacterium. Its description in RNAcentral is "bacterial SSU rRNA". It matches the Rfam family "Bacterial small subunit ribosomal RNA", at positions 30 to 418 of the family's 1533-position model. The record is from RNAcentral.
AUUGAUCGCUGGCGGCAUGCCUUACACAUGCAAGUCGAACGGCAGCACGGGAGCAAUCCUGGUGGCGAGUGGCGAACGGGUGAGUAAUAUAUCGGAACGUGCCCGGUCGUGGGGGAUAACGUAGCGAAAGCUACGCUAAUACCGCAUACGAUCUACGGAUGAAAGCGGGGGAUCGCAAGACCUCGCGCGAUUGGAGCGGCCGAUAUCAGAUUAGGUAGUUGGUGAGGUAAAGGCUCACCAAGCCGACGAUCUGUAGCUGGUCUGAGAGGACGACCAGCCACACUGGGACUGAGACACGGCCCAGACUCCUACGGGAGGCAGCAGUGGGGAAUUUUGGACAAUGGGCGGCAAGCCUGAUCCAGCAAUGCCGCGUGCAGGAUGAAGGCCUC